RNAcentral lists this ribosomal RNA (243 nucleotides) under Weissella cibaria. RNAcentral's name for it is "partial 16S ribosomal RNA". It matches the Rfam family "Bacterial small subunit ribosomal RNA", at positions 60 to 263 of the family's 1533-position model. The record is from RNAcentral. Lineage: Bacteria; Bacillati; Bacillota; Bacilli; Lactobacillales; Lactobacillaceae.
CAGUCGAACGCUUUGUGGUUCAACUGAUUUGAAGAGCUUGCUCAGAUAUGACGAUGGACAUUGCAAAGAGUGGCGAACGGGUGAGUAACACGUGGGAAACCUACCUCUUAGCAGGGGAUAACAUUUGGAAACAGAUGCUAAUACCGUAUAACAAUAGCAACCGCAUGGUUGCUACUUAAAAGAUGGUUCUGCUAUCACUAAGAGAUGGUCCCGCGGUGCAUUAGUUAGUUGGUGAGGUAAUGG